AUGAACUCCUCCCUUAUUAGCCUCUUGAUGUAUAUUAUGGGAUUCUAUAACUUGCAUGAAUCCCUUCAUCACGAGGUUACCAUACUACUCUCCAGAUUCUUCUGGGCUGGGGAGGGCGAUAAACAGAAAUACCACAUGGUUAAGUGGUCUGAGAUUUGCAAGACCAAGGAUCAGGGCGGCCUCGGGGUGAUUUCAUCUAAAAGGAUGAAUAUUUCCCUCCUCUCCAAAUGGUUGUUGCGCAUUCAGACCGGUGAUGGUGGACUUUGGCUGGAGUUUAUCCGCGCAAAGUACCUGCAUGGACAGCCUCUAGCGUUCGCCUCUAGAACUGGAGGCUCCCAAUUUUGGCAAUUGGUUAUCCAGCUCAUGGCGAUUCUAUGUAUUGGGACUUCCAUUAAGGUGGGCACUGGUACCGGUACCUUAUUCUAGCUGGAUAGAUGGUCCGGAACUAGAUCCUUUGCGGAGCGGUUUUUCGCAUUAUUCUCUAUUUGCGCCCGCCCACAACUUACUGUGGGCGUGGCAUUAGAUGACCUAGACGUUAUCAAUAUACACUCUUCAAGCCCUCUAAGGCCAUCAACCAUUUUGGCCGUCGGAUUUGUAUGUUAA
RNAcentral lists this ribosomal RNA (603 nucleotides) under Triticum aestivum (bread wheat). RNAcentral's name for it is "partial small subunit ribosomal RNA". The record is from RNAcentral. Lineage: Eukaryota; Viridiplantae; Streptophyta; Magnoliopsida; Poales; Poaceae.